RNAcentral lists this ribosomal RNA (406 nucleotides) under uncultured bacterium. Its description in RNAcentral is "partial 16S ribosomal RNA". It matches the Rfam family "Bacterial small subunit ribosomal RNA", at positions 29 to 526 of the family's 1533-position model. The record is from RNAcentral.
AUUGAACGCUGGCGGCAGGCCUAACACAUGCAAGUCGAACGAGUGGCGGACGGGUGCGUAAUGUCUGGGAAACUGCCCGAUGGAGGGGGAUAACUACUGGAAACGGUAGCUAAUACCGCAUACCAUCGGAUGUGCCCAGAUGGGAUUAGCUAGUAGGUGGGGUAACGGCUAACCUAGGCGACGAUCCCUAGCUGGUCUGAGAGGAUGACCAGCCAAACUGGAACUGAGACACGGGCCAGACGCCUACGGGAGGCAGCAGUGGGGAAUAUUGGACAAUGGGCGCAAGCCUGAGGCAGACAUGCCGCGUGUAUGAAGAAGGCCGUCGGGUUGUAAAGUACUGUCAGCGAGGAGGCGUUACUCGCAGAAGAAGCACCGGCUAACUCCGUGCCAGCAGCCGCGGUAAUAC